CUGAAACUCGCCUACAUGAAGCUGGAGUUGCUAGUAAUCGCGAAUCAGCAUGUCGCGGUGAAUACGUUCCCGGGCCUUGUACACACCGCCCGUCACACCAUGAGAGUUGGCAAUACCCAACGUACGUGAUCUAACCCGCAAGGGAGGAAGCGUCCUAAGGUAGGGUCAGCGAUUGGGGUGAAGUCGUAACAAGGUAUC
RNAcentral lists this ribosomal RNA (198 nucleotides) under uncultured bacterium. RNAcentral describes it as "partial 16S ribosomal RNA". It matches the Rfam family "Bacterial small subunit ribosomal RNA", at positions 1305 to 1500 of the family's 1533-position model. The record is from RNAcentral.